This 628-nucleotide ribosomal RNA is filed under the name uncultured Russulaceae. RNAcentral's name for it is "LSU rRNA". It matches the Rfam family "Eukaryotic large subunit ribosomal RNA", at positions 47 to 649 of the family's 3401-position model. Lineage: Eukaryota; Fungi; Basidiomycota; Agaricomycetes; Russulales; Russulaceae. The record is from RNAcentral.
UAAGCGGAGGAAAAGAAACUAACAAGGAUUCCCCUAGUAACUGCGAGUGAAGCGGGAAAAGCUCAAAUUUAAAAUCUGGUGGUCUUUGGNCAUCCGAGUUGUAAUCUAGAGAAGCNUCUUCCGCGCUGGACCGUGCACAAGUCUCCUGGAACGGAGCGUCGUAGAGGGUGAGAAUCCUGUCUUUGGCAUGGACACACCAGGGCUUUUGUGAUGCGCUCUCGAAGAGUCGAGUUGUUUGGGAAUGCAGCUCAAAAUGGGUGGUGAACUCCAUCUAAAGCUAAAUAUUGGCGAGAGACCGAUAGCGAACAAGUACCGUGAGGGAGAGAUGAAAAGCACUUUGGAAAGAGAGUGAAACAGUACGUGAAAUUGUUGAAAGGGAAACGCUUGAAGUCAGUCGCGUCGACCGAGACUCAGCCUCGCCUCGGCUUGGUGUACUUCUCGGCCCGACGGGUCAGCAUCAAUUUCGCCUCUUGGAUAAUGGCGAGGGAAACGUGACACCUUUACGGUGUGUUAUAGUCUCUCGUCGCAUGCAAGGGUCGGGAUUGAGGAACUCAGCACGCGCCUUUGGGCGUCGGGGCUUUGCCUACGAUACGUGCUUAGGAUGUUGGCGUAAUGGCUUUAAACGACC